This is a long non-coding RNA of Megachile rotundata (alfalfa leafcutting bee), 376 nucleotides long. NCBI's taxonomy places the organism in Eukaryota, Metazoa, Arthropoda, Insecta, Hymenoptera, Megachilidae. The record is from RefSeq and is a predicted model, not a curated record.
AGAUUAUCUUUUGGCGACUAAACUAUGAUUGUUAAUAUAACACAUUCCUUCCUUGAAAUCAACGUGGUCCCACGGCCAAAAUCUUAGAUCAUUUCAUUUCUCCGAACCGCCGAAUAUAAACAGAAGUCACACUCGUGUGGUCCGAUAACGCCAAGCGUUCUGGAAUGUUCCUCAAGGGCCCACGACGCAAUAUAAAAUUGUAAUAGAAAUUGUCUUUGCAACACUACAAAAUUAUAUAAAUUACUCAUAGUAUUUCUUUAUACCGUUAUUAUGAAUACGCACACGUCAAUCAGUUCCACAAUAGUUACAGUACCGAGCGCGAUUUAACUUUAAUAAUUGUAAAACGAAAUAGAUAAUGUUCAUUCUAAAUUUCUAA